UGGGGAAUUUGGACAAUGGGCGAAAGCCUGAUCCAGCAAUGCCGCGUGUGUGAAGAAGGCCUUCGGGUUGUAAAGCACUUUUGUCCGGAAAGAAAUCCUUGGCUCUAAUACAGUCGGGGGAUGACGGUACCGGAAGAAUAAGCACCGGCUAACUACGUGCCAGCAGCCGCGGUAAUACGUAGGGUGCAAGCGUUAAUCGGAAUUACUGGGCGUAAAGCGUGCGCAGGCGGUUUGCUAAGACCGAUGUGAAAAUCCCCGGGCUCAACCUGGGAACUGCAUUGGUGACUGGCAGGCUAGAGUAUGGCAGAGGGGGGUAGAAUUCCACGUGUAGCAGUGAAAUGCGUAGAGAUGUGGAGGAAUACCGAUGGCGAAGGCAGCCCCCUGGGCAAUACUGACGCUCAUGCACGAAAGCGUGGGGAGCAAACAGGAUUAGAUACCCUGGUAGUCCACGCCCU
This 455-nucleotide ribosomal RNA is filed under the name uncultured bacterium. RNAcentral's name for it is "partial 16S ribosomal RNA". It matches the Rfam family "Bacterial small subunit ribosomal RNA", at positions 356 to 803 of the family's 1533-position model. The record is from RNAcentral.